AUUGAACGCUGGCGGCAGGCCUAACACAUGCAAGUCGAACGGUAACAGGAAGAAGCUUGCUUCUUUGCUGACGAGUGGCGGACGGGUGAGUAAUGUCUGGGAAACUGCCUGAUGGAGGGGGAUAACUACUGGAAACGGUAGCUAAUACCGCAUAACGUCGCAAGACCAAAGAGGGGGACCUUCGGGCCUCUUGCCAUCGGAUGUGCCCAGAUGGGAUUAGCUAGUAGGUGGGGUAACGGCUCACCUAGGCGACGAUCCCUAGCUGGUCUGAGAGGAUGACCCGCCACACUUGAACUGAGACACGGUCCAGACUCCUACGGGAGGCAGCAGUGGGGAAUAUUGCACAACGGGCGCAAGCCUGAUGCAGCCAUGCCGCGUGUAUGAAGAAGGCCUUCGGGUUGUAAAGUACUUUCAGCGGGGAGGAAGGGAGUAAAGUUAAUACCUUUGCUCAUUGACGUUACCCGCAGAAGAAGCACCGGCUAACUCCGUG
RNAcentral lists this ribosomal RNA (490 nucleotides) under uncultured bacterium. Its description in RNAcentral is "partial 16S ribosomal RNA". It matches the Rfam family "Bacterial small subunit ribosomal RNA", at positions 30 to 507 of the family's 1533-position model. The record is from RNAcentral.